This is a non-coding RNA of Fukomys damarensis (Damara mole-rat), 71 nucleotides long. The record is from Rfam. NCBI's taxonomy places the organism in Eukaryota, Metazoa, Chordata, Mammalia, Rodentia, Bathyergidae.
GGAGGUGUAGCUCAAUGUAAAGCACUUGCCUGGCAUGCACAUGGCCCUGAGUUCAAUUCCCAGUGCCAUUA